This is a long non-coding RNA of Bombus terrestris (buff-tailed bumblebee), 5023 nucleotides long. RefSeq lists it as uncharacterized. Lineage: Eukaryota; Metazoa; Arthropoda; Insecta; Hymenoptera; Apidae. The transcript is spliced from 6 exons. The record is from RefSeq and is a predicted model, not a curated record.
AUUUUGAAAUUUUUAUUUUUACAUUUUUAUAUUUUCUAUAUUUUUGUACUUUUAUAUUUUUAAACGUUUUCUAUAAUUCUAUAUUCAAGUAAUAGUAAAUAUGAAAAGAAGAAUAAGAAAAGUGUGGAAUGGCAACGCAUGUAACGGUACGUGAAUGUUAUUCGCGUAUUUUUAUUUGUAUACGUAAUAUGUACUUUUUAAUACAUAUUACACAUUUAUUUCUCUUAUCUACGAUCUAGACCUACGUUUAGAUCGUCUAGAUCUAUGAUCUCAUCUAUUUAUCUUUUAUACAUAUGGUUUGAUAUAUUCGGUAUACCACAAUAAUAUAGGUUAAAUUAUAUAAAACAUAUCUGUUUCAUAUUAGAAUAACUUAAGCAAAAUCUUUAGUUAUAUAAGCAUAUAUAAAAUAUUUACCAUAAAUAAAUGUAGUAUCAGGGCCAAAAGGCCUAAGGUAUCGGCCGAACCGUAAACAAAGUACCGUUCAUCAUCAAUGUAUCGUUGGGUCUUUUUAAGUGGACAGUUUUCGUGGAAAGGACCUGCGUGACCUUGACCACGGGCGCUUCGGGAUACCUGUUCCGAAGGACGGAAAAAGGCAAAGAGACGUUAAGGAGAGUGUUAGUGGAGAUGUCGGAGUGGACGGAUGCCAAAUGUGUGCAGAGUGUGCAGAGUGUGCAGAGUGUGAGUUGAGAGGCGAGAGCGAGCGAGUGUGGAAGCGGAAGAGUAUGAAUUGGGAAGUCGAAAGCCGCCUGUGAGAAUAGGACGUACAACAGCAUUGUAAUCAUUUCGUUGCUUCGAAUAUCAUUUAUUAAAUCAAAACAUCAUUACUUGUCCUUUCCUCUAAGACCCAUUUAGAUACUACAUAAAUCAAUGGUCGAUCAAGUGUUACAUCUUUUGUAUUUGUACAUUAUCUUCUAUCAAAAUUUAACAGGUAAACUUUAUAAUUAUUUGUUUAGCAUUCAUUACUAACUGAUAUAUAUCCACAUUAUAGGCAUCUUUCAAUACGACGCACAUCUGACCAUGUGUGUGUUACGCAAAAUAAAAAAAAAAAAGAAAUCGAAGAUGAAAAUAGAAAAGAGAGAAUAAAGCAAUAAGUUAGAAAAAAUUUACCGAAUGUCCAACUGGACAAAUUAUAAAGUACAAAUUAAAUAAAUUAAAAAAAAAUAAUGCUCUUCUAAUCAGUUGUUUGCCGAGAAUUGACGGUAUAGAGUAUUUGUCUCUUAAAUUUCUGCGUGGUAAUAUCAAUCCUAUUUUAUUAAAUACAUUCAACGAAAUGUGUCGUAGCGUUACAUAUUACAAGUUACACAGUAUACUAACAUCUUCUUACGUGAAGCUAAACUAUUCUCAUUUCGUGGUAGAGCUAAUGUAUUUGCCAAACAAAAUCUCUUCAAAUGUAACUCUUUUAAAGAUCUAACUUUAAAAGAUCCUACCCUUAUGAAUCUUAUGCAUCGAUUUGCAAUUGACAACUAAAUUGUAAUAAAAGAACAUAAUGAACGAUUAAAACUAAAUUCGUAAUCUAAAAUAUUGUAUAACUGUUACGUUUUUUGAAUGUAGGUACACACACAUGUAAUAUCUAUUGCAUAUGCACACAUUUAUAUAUUUUAUUUUACAUAUUUUAACAUACUAUAUACACAUAAAAUUUCGCACUAUAAUAAUCGUUAUUUAUAGUAAUCGAUAUUAAAAUAGUUAUUAAAUAUUUGUUUAAUUAAUCCUAAAAUUGAAGUACAAUUAUGAAAAUGUUAACAAAAGAAUUGCGUUUAGAUUUCAUAAACAUAUCGCAAAGUGACCGAUUUACCCAGCGAUCGUACACAGGUCUCACUUAUAGUCCUGAAGCAGAACCAAUCAGCAAGCAACGCUACCUCACUGUCGUUAUUAUAUUACACUAGCGCAUCGUCAUAGAGUUUAGUACUCUUUAAUCUGUUGAGAUAAAUGUCAUGUUGGUAUGUUGCUACAUCCAGAGUUGGUGCCACUGCUUGCGUUUCUCGUCUGUUACUCCCCGUCCGCCACGUUUUUUUUAUCAGAUUAUCCGAUGUGUUGUAAGUGGCUUUAUAAGGUGGUGAAAUACAGAGCAUACGAAACUAAUCUGUGUGAAUCAAUAAAAUAUCAAACCCCAAAUCUAUGUAAUAACAUAAUCGCCUUUUGUAUUCGAGUCAAGGUAGAGUGUACAUCGUAUAAAAAUUUACUGAACGUUAUAAUUUUUUAAUUUACCAAGCAUUACUUGGUAAUGAGUACUAAGUGAACAAUUAAAUUUGAUUAGAAAUUUGAUCUGCACAGUUUCUGUAAAAAGAGAUUUAGCGAAGGAUGGAUGGGUAGUACAGUAACCGAAAAGGAAAUUAUUCUACAUGCAAAAUUCUGAACUGUUAUGACUGCAUGGAAACAAAGAAGUUCACAAAUGAAAUAUAGGGAAAUUUCAAGAGUUCUCGUUGCCAGAAAUUUAAGAUGAAUGGUUCUUAUGAUAUUCAGGCAAAGUGACUCCUGAGUAAGAUAAAACUUCAGAAAUUCUUCCCUAUGGUGCUUUGCUGAGACCUUUGGAUUUUAACUCGUAAACAAGUUGGCUUAAUGUGCGAUUUAUAAAUAUUUUCAUAGAACUGUCCGGUCAAUAAGGUUGUUUUCUUCCUGAAAGUACAAAUUGGCACGGUCGAAUUACGACUAAAUUCUUAGAACAUUCGGUGGAAGGACCGUUGGGAUAUCGACGACUCAUUAGGCACUUCGGCGAUAUACAUUGUCGCCAAGGCCGCCACAUCUUUAUCUCCAUCAUCGGUCCAUCGGAUUUGAAGGGUGCCGAUCGUGACAGGAACAUUGAAGCGGACAUCGUGGUGAAGAUGGCUGAGGAUGAUCGGUCGUGGCAGAAGUUCUCAGAGUUCUGUACGCGGGCGAUGGUCUUCAGGCAAAGGAAAGAAAAAGAGGUGGAGACGCGCGAUGGACGCUCCAGAGGAAUAGGAAGAGCAGGAAGAACGGUGUUAAGUACAUGAAGAUUGGUGUAGGGUACGUAGUGUAGAGGCCAACCUGAAGUAUUGUCGAAUGAUCGGGCCGGGUUGGAACCUCGAGUACCUUAGGAGUGAAAGGGGGAGGAGUUUUUAGUUUGUAUAGCAAUGACAUCUGCCGAGUUCCACAUAACCCACAUACAAAAUGGCAUGGGGUAUGCGUAAGUGCAUUUUCCUCUCCUCCGAAAAAAGUCCAAUUCGAGCAUAUUCACGUAGACAUUAUCGUAAUGCAGUAUUCGCAGGGCUAUGCCGGUUGCUUGGUGUCACCCACCUACGCAUGUCUGCCUAUCAUCCCGCGUCUAAUGGAAUAGUAGAUCGCUUACAUAGACAACUUAAAGCGGCGGUCAAGUGCCACGACACGAGCAACUGGAUCGAAAUUCUGCCGAUCGUUCUAUUAGGCAUCCGAACCGCGAUGAAGGAGGAUCUAAAUGUAACGAUAGCUGAAAUGAUCUACAGCACUGGCAUAUGAUUGCCGGUGAAGUUCUUUUUGGCAACUAAUCAGCGGACCAACUCAGAAUUCACGAACCUGCUAAAAGAACGGAUGGAGAAAGUCAGGCCACAGCCUGUGAUACAACAUGGCGAAAAACAAAUAUUCGUUUUUGGAACGCGAAUUGGAAUCCUCGCCGUACGUAUUCUUACGACAUGACGCGAUUAGAGGCCCUCUACAGCCGCUUUACGACUGGCCGUUUAAAGUAACGCGAAGAGGCCAAAGCCAGCCUUUAUAGUAUCAGAGGACCUUGAAGCAAAAACCGCGGAAACCCGUAACGUGCUUAUUCUGGUAGAACAUACGAACGCCCGCAACAAAAGCGGUGCAACUAUACCAAAUCAAAAUAACGGAGAAAACACUAACAAUAGGUACGUUACGGGGUCUGGGCGAAGAGUACGUUUUCCCGAUUGUGUACAGGUAGGUUUCGGUUAAGCAUCGUAAAUUAUCGGACACGGAAUAUACCACGAAAAUUUUAAAAACAGCGACUUUCAAGGUAAACACGUGAUAAGAAUAACACAAUAAAAACGUUGUCACUGGUAGAGGGGUAAUAUAGCGACGCAGGAGUCAAAGGACGACGCAAAUCGAGUCAUUAUCUGCGAGUAUCACGAGUAUCUACCGAGUUAUGCGACGAGCAUUAACGAGUAUUUAUUCGCGAUUUGAUUUUGCGAUUUAUACCUUGUAUAAAUUACAUAUACAUUCGUAUACAUAUAAAUUACAUAUACGUUCGUAUACAUUACAUAUACUGUACAUUAAUUUAUUAUUUUAAAUAUACUCAACGGUUUCAACAACGCGCAAUUUCGUCCUUUAAACCUCACGUACCAACUAUUCUCUACACAUAAACAUCUACACGUGUGUCUUGCAUUAUAUAACGCUCGAUAGAUUUAUGCAAAGUUUUUGUUAAGUUUCUACAAACAUUUAAUUAAUAAAUGAGUUAAUUUUUUAAUUUUUGAACCUUAGAGGUUUUUAUCUAACACGUGUUUAUGUGGAAGUCAUUCGAUCACGUGUGUUUGUACAAUAAUAUUAUUGUUUGUAUAAUAUUAUUCGCAUAUAUUUCACUAGGAUGUAGUAUAAUGCAUUUUCUAAUAACAAAGCACUACAUGUUUUAAAAUAACAAAGUACUGCUUGGUUCGAAACAAAGUAUGACUAUGUAUAUUGAAACAAUACAGCACCAAGAACAUCGGAAAACCAUAAUAAUAUACAUUGCCGGAUAACUUAGAGCUACAUCCUUGCGUGCAAAACGUAUACGUGCAAUAUUAAUUUUAAGACACGAAUAUACGAUUACUACAAGUUCCACUCUAACAUAUUUUGAUUUUAAACAACGCUAUAUCGCAGCUGCUCUUUUGAAAAUUAACAAUAAAUUUAUUUCCAUGAUAUAUUAAUCCCUCUGCGUUCUCAAAUCUCAAUUUUAUAGCGUUCAAUAAUAUUCACGAUUGCAAAUGAUUUCGUCAAUAAUUUUUGUAAACAUCGAUCUAACUUAACGUAGAGACUAAUGACAUCGCCUAGUUUACAAACAAUUACACACUUUUCCUUUUAAUUUGUUGAUUGAAUUGCUGGA